AAGCGGUGGAGCAUGUGGUUUAAUUCGAUGCAACGCGAAGAACCUUACCUGGGCUGACAUCCGAGAAUCCCCUGGAAACAGGGGAGUGCCUUUCGGGAACUCGGAGACAGGUGCUGCAUGGCUGUCGUCAGCUCGUGUCGUGAGAUGUUGGGUUAAGUCCCGCAACGAGCGCAACCCUUGUCUUAAUUGCCAGCAUUCAGUUGGGCACUUUAAAGAGACUGCCGGUGUUAAAGCCGGAGGAAGGUGGGGAUGACGUCAAGUCCUCAUGGCCUUUAUGCCCAGGGCUACACACGUGCUACAAUGGGUGGUACAAAGAGAUGCCAACUCGCGAGAGCGCGCCAAUCUCAGAAAGCCAUCCUCAGUUCGGAUUGGAGUCUGCAACUCGACUCCAUGAAGUUGGAAUCGCUAGUAAUCGCGGAUCAGCACGCCGCGGUGAAUACGUUCCCGGGCCUU
RNAcentral lists this ribosomal RNA (453 nucleotides) under uncultured Syntrophus sp. RNAcentral describes it as "bacterial SSU rRNA". It matches the Rfam family "Bacterial small subunit ribosomal RNA", at positions 927 to 1382 of the family's 1533-position model. Lineage: Bacteria; Pseudomonadati; Thermodesulfobacteriota; Syntrophia; Syntrophales; Syntrophaceae. The record is from RNAcentral.